RNAcentral lists this ribosomal RNA (484 nucleotides) under uncultured bacterium. Its description in RNAcentral is "bacterial SSU rRNA". It matches the Rfam family "Bacterial small subunit ribosomal RNA", at positions 32 to 505 of the family's 1533-position model. The record is from RNAcentral.
AUUAAAACGCUGGCGGCAUGCCUUACACAUGCAAGUCGAACGGCAGCACGGGGGCAACCCUGGUGGCGAGUGGCGAACGGGUGAGUAAAGCAUCGGAACGUGCCCUGGAGUGGGGGAUAACGUAGCGAAAGUUACGCUAAUACCGCAUAUUCUGUGAGCAGGAAAGCAGGGGAUCGCAAGACCUUGCGCUCUGGGAGCGGCCGAUGUCGGAUUAGCUAGUUGGUGGGGUAAGAGCCUACCAAGGCGACGAUGGUUAGCUGGUCUGAGAGGAUGAUCAGCCACACUGGAACUGAGACACGGUCCAGACUCCUACGGGAGGCAGCAGUGGGGAAUUUUGCGCAAUGGGGGAAACCCUGACGCAGCAACGCCGCGUGAGUGAUGAAGGCCUUCGGGUCGUAAAGCUCUGUCAGAGGGGAAGAAAUGCAGGGGCGCUAAUAUCGCUUAUGCUUGACGGUACCCUCAAAGGAAGCACCGGCUAACCCGU